RNAcentral lists this long non-coding RNA (207 nucleotides) under Lathyrus oleraceus (garden pea). RNAcentral describes it as "Pisum sativum (pea) long non-coding RNA (PSAT_LNC010152)". The record is from RNAcentral. Lineage: Eukaryota; Viridiplantae; Streptophyta; Magnoliopsida; Fabales; Fabaceae.
CAAGUAGUUUGAUAUGUUUUUGUGUUGGUCUUGGUUGUUGUUUUCUUUCUUUCUCUUCUACUUUUGUCUUAGUAAGGUUCUUUUUUUUCUUUUCUUUUUAACACUAUUUUUGCAUGCCGUGUAUUCUAUAUUCUUUAGCUUUUUAUUGCAUUUUAAAUAAGCUUUGCUAUUAAAGAAAUAUUUACAAAUAUAUACAAUUUAUAUUUU